AACGAACGCUGGCGGCAGGCCUAACACAUGCAAGUCGAGCGAACCCUUCGGGGUUAGCGGCGGACGGGUUGGUAACGCGUGGGAAUAUACCCUUUGGUACGGAAUAGCCUCGGGAAACUGAGAGUAAUACCGUAUGUGCCCUUCGGGGGAAAGAUUUAUCGCCAAAGGAUUAGCCCGCGUUGGAUUAGAUAGUUGGUGGGGUAAUGGCCUACCAAGUCUACGAUCCAUAGCUGGUUUGAGAGGAUGAUCAGCAACACUGGGACUGAGACACGGCCCAGACUCCUACGGGAGGCAGCAGUGGGGAAUCUUAGACAAUGGGCGCAAGCCUGAUCUAGCCAUGCCGCGUGGACGACGAAGGGCCUUAGGGUUGUAAAGUCCUUUUCAGAUGGAAGAUAAUGACGGUACCAUCAGAAGAAGCCCCGGCUAACUCCGUGCCAGCAGCCGCGGUAAAGUCACA
RNAcentral lists this ribosomal RNA (457 nucleotides) under uncultured bacterium. RNAcentral's name for it is "bacterial SSU rRNA". It matches the Rfam family "Bacterial small subunit ribosomal RNA", at positions 29 to 529 of the family's 1533-position model. The record is from RNAcentral.